RNAcentral lists this long non-coding RNA (1863 nucleotides) under Anas platyrhynchos platyrhynchos (common mallard). RNAcentral's name for it is "lncRNA (ENSAPLG00000028914.1)". Lineage: Eukaryota; Metazoa; Chordata; Aves; Anseriformes; Anatidae. The record is from RNAcentral.
CCUUGCCUCUCUGGUGCUCCAGUUUCCCAGUGGAACCCCUAUCCCACAAGAUCAUAGCAGGGAUCACAAAGGGUUUUCAGAUCCAGAAAUCUCAGUAUUUAGAAAUAUUGCUUCUGAAACACCAGAAGUACAAUCCAGUGUAUCAUAAAAACUAUAAAGUAUGUCCUAAGGACAUAGUGAACCAUCUGAGACAAUGGUGCAUUGGAAGCAUCAGUAGGAAACCUCAGUGGAUGCUUAGUAACUAAAGAUAUCGAUGAAAUAAUUUAAUGAUAUCUACAGCUAGCAUAAGAAGCACAAGAAGCUGCAACAAGGCUAUUUUUUCCAUGAGAAUGCCACCCCAAUUCCUUCUACCAACCCACUUUAUGAAGAGGAGUGAUUUGGCAGAUCUCUUGAAAAAAGAGACUAAACAACUCCUGAGUCGUAUUGCCAUGGAGAUACAAACACAAACAGAGCACCUCCUGCUGCUUACACAAGCUCCAAGGCACCAUACACCAAGAGAUGUAACAGACCCAGGAGCUCAGGGAUGCCUGGUGGUUCUGCUGAGCUGGCACACAGCACAUGGGGGCACCACUCUCAGCUCUGCAUCCCCUUCCAUCAGCAGCUUGGUGUGGCUGUCCUCCAGCAAGCACAAGGCUUGAGUGUCAUCAUGCUAGCAGCUGGACUGACAAAAUCAGAUGCAGAGUGUAUGCAGUGUUUACUGAGAGCUGGAAGGUUAUAUGUCAAAUCUGAAAUUUCAGGUGACAGUGAAGUCCCCUCCCCAUGGAUACAUGGAUGUAAUGGAUACAAAGAAACAGGAUCUGAGCAGAAAUACAGCCAGAAACAGAAAACAGACAUGAACUGGGAACCAAUGGAAAAUCCACAGAUACCCAGAGAAUGGAUACUAGUAUGUUCCAAGCAGUUCACCCGCAAGCAGCUUUACCCACAGGGGCACACCAAGAAGCAUCCACACCCUUUCCAGUUCAAUCUGUCAUACGGCACACCAGAGCUCAGCUGCAUGACUAUAACACAGCUUACCUCAACUAAGCUGGCAGGCCGUGCCUGUCUAAUUAUAUACCUUUAACCAGCAGCAAACACAAGUUAAUUCAAAUUUCUUCAAAGAAAUCAGAUAAAGCCAAAUGAAAUUACAUUCCAUUUACCACAUGAGUGCACACAUCACCCAUUGCCACCACUAAACCCAUCAGCGUAACUCAUAGAAACUUGACUCCUCUGAAGACAGGUGUUCAACACUGCUAAAAGGUUUGAUUCUUUAGAGACUUCAGACAAACCCAAAUCCCCUCCAUUCAUCCCGCAGACCCCACCAGCUUUCUCUCUCUUUUUCCUGGAUGUCCCCAUAUCCACCUUUUUUCUAUGUCCCAUUUCUUCUCUCACUACUAUUCAUCCCCUACCCUACUAAUUCCCACUUUUCUGGUCUGUUGGGAUGGAGAAAUAGCAUGUGCCACUUGGCCAUUAGGAGUAAAGGAAGAUGACACAGAGAACAAGUAGGUCUGACCCAGGACAGCAUAACGAGACUCCUGAGCAGCUGUAGUGCACCUUUGGUUUGUGCAGCAGGCACUCAAGGGAUGUCUCUACCACCAGUGGGUCACAUACACAACCCAGACAGUCUAAAGAUAGUUUUUUUCCAACUAAUCUACUCUGGAGGUGUAAAAUGUACAUGUAAUUACAAUCAGAUGUUGAUAAAAAGUUUUAUAUAUGUCCAAUACCAUUAUAGUGAAAGGACCCAGGCUUCAGGUUUGGAUACCUGCUGAACUGGAGCCUUCUUGAACAGAGAUAAAAUUUGCAGUCUAAUUUGGUAAAUGCUUGUUUAAAUUGUAUGUAGUUACAGUGAUGUACAAAGGGCAAUAAAAUUAAUUUCCCUAUUUAACA